CCCUGGUGCAGCAGGCCCGGCAUGGGGCCACUGCCCAGUCCUGUACUGGUGGAGAGCUCCAGCUCUGGAGCCUGCCAGACUCGAGGCUCCUUCGUCUGCUCAGGGGAGGCAAUAAUAGCACCAGCCUCCCAGGUUGUUAAUGGAAAAUACACGUGUGCCAGCGCCCUCUAAACCCCUCAAGGACUGUAGCUCUUGUUCAGGACUCUUGACCUCCCAGCCCUCUCCCUGUGCCUGCCCUCACCCCCACAGCAGCCGGUGGGAUCCCCUGAAACCUUGCG
This 278-nucleotide long non-coding RNA is filed under the name Equus caballus (horse). Its description in RNAcentral is "lncRNA (ENSECAG00000054009.1)". The record is from RNAcentral. Lineage: Eukaryota; Metazoa; Chordata; Mammalia; Perissodactyla; Equidae.